RNAcentral lists this ribosomal RNA (570 nucleotides) under bacterium RBM-E9. RNAcentral's name for it is "bacterial SSU rRNA". It matches the Rfam family "Bacterial small subunit ribosomal RNA", at positions 89 to 694 of the family's 1533-position model. The record is from RNAcentral.
GGGGCAGCGGCGGACGGGUGAGUAACGCGUGGGAACGUGCCCUUUGGUACGGAACAACUGAGGGAAACUUCAGCUAAUACCGUAUGUGCCCUUCGGGGGAAAGAUUUAUCGCCAUUGGAGCGGCCCGCGUUAGAUUAGCUAGUUGGUAGGGUAAUGGCCUACCAAGGCGACGAUCUAUAGCUGGUCUGAGAGGAUGAUCAGCCACACUGGGACUGAGACACGGCCCAGACUCCUACGGGAGGCAGCAGUAGGGAAUCUUGCGCAAUGGGCGAAAGCCUGACGCAGCCAUGCCGCGUGAAUGAUGAAGGUCUUAGGAUUGUAAAAUUCUUUCACCGGGGACGAUAAUGACGGUACCCGGAGAAGAAGCCCCGGCUAACUUCGUGCCAGCAGCCGCGGUAAUACGAAGGGGGCUAGCGUUGCUCGGAAUUACUGGGCGUAAAGGGAGCGUAGGCGGAUAGUUUAGUCAGAGGUGAAAGCCCAGGGCUCAACCUUGGAAUUGCCUUUGAUACUGGCUAUCUUGAGUAUGGAAGAGGUAUGUGGAACUCCGAGUGUAGAGGUGAAAUUCGUAGA